UCUAGUAACAAUAGCGAGAAGGCUACACCUGUUCCCAUCCCGAACACAGAAGUUAAGUUUCUCAGCGCUGAUGAUACUUGGGGGGCAACCCCCUGGGAAAGUAAGACGUUGCUAGUU
Molecule: ribosomal RNA, 117 nt
Filed under: Clostridiales bacterium
Lineage: Bacteria; Bacillati; Bacillota; Clostridia; Eubacteriales
Source: RNAcentral